Molecule: non-coding RNA, 126 nt
Filed under: Candidatus Omnitrophota bacterium
Lineage: Bacteria; Pseudomonadati; Candidatus Omnitrophota
Description: Omnitrophica WOR c-di-GMP sequence
Rfam family: c-di-GMP-I riboswitch aptamer
About the family: GEMM was predicted in a large-scale screen for bacterial structured RNA regulatory elements. Genes associated with GEMM are involved in a diverse array of functions, including chemotaxis regulation, signal transduction, secretion and chitin.
Source: RNAcentral
GUAACGAAAAGGCAAGCCCCGAGUAAUCGGGGGGGCGCAAAGCCACGGGACAGUUGCUCGCCGAAAAAGUUUUUUGUCAUUCUUUCGUUUCUGGGUCGAAGCGAGAAUGUUAGCCGGGUUGCCGAA